UACGACUACAUAUCAGGCAUAUCAAUAAGCGGAGGAAAAGAAACUAACUAGGAUUCCCUCAGUAACGGCGAGUGAAGCGGGAAGAGCUCAAAUUUGAAAUCUUCAAGGUUCUACCUUGACGAAUUGUAGUUUAAAGAAGUGUUUUCUGUUGAAGUUUUGGUAAAAGUUCUUUGGAAUAGGACAUCAUAGAGGGUGAGAAUCCCGUAUUUGACCAUUAUUUCAGCUGUGUGAUACACUUUCAAAGAGUCGGAUUGUUUGGGAAUGCAGUCCAAAAUGGGUGGUAAAUUUCAUCUAAAGCUAAAUAUUGGCGAGAGACCGAUAGCGAACAAGUACCGUGAGGGAAAGAUGAAAAGAACUUUGAAAAGAGAGUUAAACAGUACGUGAAAUUGUCAAAAGGGAAGCGUUUGACACCAGUGUUGUUUUCUCGAAAAUCAAUUAAAAAGAGUUGGAUUUUGUGUUGUAUUGACCUUAACAGCUUGCUUCACUCUUUUCCAGCUUUUUUUAAUGCACUUUUCGUCUAACAAGUCAACAUCAGUUUCUUUUGUUGUAAAAGGGUCAUUGGAAGGUGGCUUUCUCUUCGGAGAAAGUGUUUAUAGCCUUUGAUCUCUGCAAUCGGAGAGACUGAGGUCUGCAGCGUAGAUCCUUCGGGGUUAGAUACAUUUGUGCUAAGCUACAGCUUUUCAUAGACAACUUGUUGACUAUGUUUAGUCUUGUGACUUACCCGCUUAUGCUAUUUUACCUACGCUUAGGAUGUUGAGCGCAUGUCUCUCUCU
Molecule: ribosomal RNA, 773 nt
Filed under: uncultured Neocallimastigales
Lineage: Eukaryota; Fungi; Neocallimastigomycota; Neocallimastigomycetes; Neocallimastigales
Description: partial large subunit ribosomal RNA
Rfam family: Eukaryotic large subunit ribosomal RNA
Source: RNAcentral